GUAGAAUCAUAGAGAAUAACACACAAUACAGUCUGAGACUUAUUUCCAUCAGUAGAAUCAUAGAGGAUAACACACAAUACAGUCUGGGACUUAUUUCCAUUGUUGAAUCAUAGAGGAUAACACACAAUACAGUCUGGGACUUAUUUCCAUUGUUGAAUCAUAGAGGAUAACACACAAUACAGUCUGGGACUUAUUUCCAUUGUUGAAUCAUAGAGGAUAACACACAACACAGCCUGAGACUUAUUUCCAUUGUUGAAUCAUAGAGGAUAACACACAACACAGCCUGAGACUUAUUUCCAUUGUUGAAUCAUAGAGGAUAACACACAACACAGUCUGAGACUUAUUUCCAUUGUUGAAUCAUAGAGGAUAACACACAAUACAGUCUGGGACUUAUUUCCAUUGUUGAAUCAUAGAGAAUAACACACAAUACAGUCUGGGACUUAUUUCCAUUGUGGUCCUCUUAAAACAAGAUGGCUAGGCAAGAUCCAGCACGGUUGAACACAGUACGACAGCGAGAUAAUAAAACAUUUUUAAAAAUAAGAACAUCUAUCUCAUCAUUGGAGUUACAUCGUAGAGGUCAUUCAUAUGGGCACGGCAGACAUCAAACUGUUUUUUACUUUCAUUUUGAAGCUGCCCAGAGUGGAUGUCGUUUUUAUGGUCAGAAGAAACUCAUUCCACUCUGAGGCGCCUGUAUACUAGACAGUACCUUUCCCGGCAUUACUCCUGAACCUGUAUAAGCACACAUUAUAACACGGUUCAUACGGUUCAUAUGGUUCAAUGGUCACGGUUCAUAUGGUUCACACGUUUCAUAUAGUUCAUAUGGUUCGCACAGUUCAUAUGGUUCACACGGUUCAUAUGGUUCACACGGUUCAUAUGGUUCACACGGUUCAUAUGGUUCACACGGUUCAUAUGGUUCAUACGGUUUAUAUGCUUCACACGGUUCAUAUGGUUCAAAGAGUUCAUAUGGUUCAAACGGUUCAUAUGGUUCACACGGUUCAUACGGUUUAUAUGGUUCACACGAUUCAUAUGGUUCACACGGUUCAUAUGGUUCAAAUGGUUCAUAUGGUUCACACAGUUCAUAUGGUUCACACGGUUCAUAUGGUUCACACGGUUCAUAUGGUUCACACAGUUCAUAUGGUUCACACGGUUUAUAUGGUUCACACGGUUCAUAUGGUUCACACGGUUCAUAUGGUUCACACGGUUCAUAUGGUUCACCGGUUCAUAUGGUUCAAACGGUUCAUAUGGUUCACACGGUUCAUACGGUUUAUAUGGUUCACACGGUUCAUAUGGGUCACAUGGUUCAUACAGUUCACACAGUUCAUACGGUUCACACGGUUCAUAUGGUUCACACUGUUCAUAUGGUUCACACGGUUCAUAUGGUUCAAAUGGUUCAUAUGGUUCACACAGUUCAUAUGGUUCGCACAGUUCAUACGGUUUAUAUGGUUCACACGGUUCAUAUGGUUCAUACGGUUUAUAUGGUUCAUAUGGUUCACACGGUUCAUAUGGUUCACACGGUUCAUACGGUUUAUAUGGUUCACACGGUUCAUAUGGUUCACACGGUUCAUAUGGUUCACACGGUUCAUAUGGUUCACACGCUUCAUAUGGUUCAUACGGUUCAUAUGGUUCACACAGUUCAUAUGGUUCACACGUUUCAUAUAGUUCAUAUGGUUCGCACAGUUCAUAUGGUUCAAACGGUUCAUAUGGUUUACAUCUGAUGAACAAUAGACAAUAAUAGCAUCAACAGCAGCUGGAGGAAAACAUCAUUGCAAUGAAAUACCACUACCUCUACCCAAGCCUUUGGCUAUGUCUCUUAUAAUGGACCUUCCUUCAUUGUAACUGAAAACGGAUUGGUUUCUGUCCAAAGCAUAGACACCAGAGAUGGUCUAUAAUUGUUGUAACUGGGUUUUUAGACUCCUUAUACAGGAAUUCUACCCUAUUCUAU
RNAcentral lists this long non-coding RNA (1942 nucleotides) under Salmo salar (Atlantic salmon). RNAcentral's name for it is "lncRNA (ENSSSAG00000087868.1)". The record is from RNAcentral. Lineage: Eukaryota; Metazoa; Chordata; Actinopteri; Salmoniformes; Salmonidae.